Molecule: long non-coding RNA, 3653 nt
Filed under: Xyrichtys novacula (pearly razorfish)
Lineage: Eukaryota; Metazoa; Chordata; Actinopteri; Labriformes; Labridae
Source: RNAcentral
GGGGGUGGGUCCUGACAGUGGAGGUCUGCAGCCAGACCCCUCUCUGUUGGAAGAAAGAGCCCAAGAGUAACGUCAGUAAAUCUCAUAUUUUUCAUCAGGCCUGACGUUCGGGGUCCUGUUACAGUCUCUUAAUUAUGGACAACAACAAAGAGGGACAAAAAGGCUCCGUGUCUGGAGAGGGUUCCUGCGCUGCGUUUUGGUGCUCGGGCCCUAAUAAGAAAAAUAGUGGGUUUGUGGAGAGAAUCUGUGACCUGCUGUGACUGCGGAGAUGUUGGAUUUUCUGUUUGUUUUUGUGUUUCAUGAAUAUUUAACGUUUUCACUCGACAAAAACAAGAAUAAAGAACAAAGAGCCGCAGCGGAGCGAAGCUUUAAUCAGCCUGUUAUGAAUGUGAGAGUGAUUGUGUUGUGCUUAAGAAACAGCCCUCCCACUGGAAACACACACACACACAUAUACACUACACACACACACACACACACACACGCACACCGCUUGUUUACAGACAAACAUUGCAGGAAAACAUGAAGUCAAAUCAUCAUCUCGAGAAAAUCAACACUUCUAAACAAUCAAAACAAUCUGCAAACACAUGAUUUAUGAAUUUGUUUGAAUGUGAGUGUGUGAGUGUGUGUGUGUGUGUGUGUUUGUGUGUUUAAGACAGAGAGAGCAAACAAACAAAGGUGUACGAUGUCUUUAAAGCGUUCCUGUCUUCAAUACAGAAUAAGUGGUUUUCUACUUUAAAGACCAAAACACAGAAAUAAAGUUUUAUUUUGAAAAUAUCCACAAACAUGUGGACAGGAUGGAGAAAUACAAAGUUAAAAAUAACAAAUACUGUCAGUAUAGUUUUAUUUUGAAAGGCUCCAAACAACUCCCAGUCCUCACAGUGGAGGUCUGGGCUCUAUUUUCGUGUCUCGCCGGCGGCAUGGCAUAGGCGCGGCAUAAGUUAGGUGCGCCGCGCCAACAAGGCGUGCCCAAGCACAUUUUGGUAUUUUGGUGAGCGGCGCAGUCCGGCGUAAGUAUCCCCCCUCCCUAACUCAGCUCCUCCCAGCGGCGCAAGUCGUAGAGAAGGAGGGGAGAAGGCGUGGAGUGGGUUUAACACAGCUGAGACCUGUUUUCACCAAUCAUAUCACCUCCUCUCCUCACCUUUAAAUCCGCCACCGACGAGGCGUAUUACUAUUUUCGUGAAGUAGUCAAAGAGAUCAAGAGAUGUCUGAAGACAGCAACGCCACACGAUGGCGACAGAAGGCAUCCCCUAAACAAGUGUCAGAUUAUUAGUUCUUAUUGAUUAUUUGUUGCACUGAAAUGUUCCUGACACUGUGGAAACCUGCCGGUGACGUAUGCCGAUACGACGCCGGUCUACCAAAAUACCUCUAGACCAGCUGCGCUCCGCUUGCGCCAAAAGCUGACCAGGUUUGAAUCGGCGUGCUUUCAGCGCACUUUCUAUGCCGCUGGCGAGCACCAAAAUGUCACCUGGCGCGCCACCACGCCCAGCUUGGCGGACCUCGGUGCUCCUCAUUCCAUGAGGCCAGACAAAAAUACCACUGCGCGGGGUCCGCCACCCUCCGCCACGCUGCCGGCGGGCACGAAAAUAGAGCCCUUUAUCUCUUAAUGAAACUAACUCCACAUCCUGAAAUCUACCACACCCUAAAGUGCACCGUGUGACUCCACCAUCAUCUAGAAAAACACCCCCCCCACACACACUCACUCACACUGUGGGAGUGUGUGUGUGCUCGUGCAUGGAUAAGUGGUUCACAGCAGGCUGGGUGACAGCGUGCAGCACACACAGCAGGACCUGCAGCACUUCCACAGAUACAUGAAUCAAAGAGGAUUUUCACAUUUGACACCGUGUGACGCCUGAAGGUUCCCACGCUGCCGCCUGACAGCAGGACGCCGAUCUGUUGUGAUAAUAUUGGAUCUUUAUUUUGUUUGUGAAUCGUUUAUUUAUUGUGUUUACAGACAACAACGGGAAACUGUAAUGGAAGAAGAAGAAGAAGAAGAAGAAGAAGAAGAAGAAGAAGAAGAAGCUCGACGAGAGAGACACACAACUUGACAACUGGACUUACUUGAGACAUUUCGCCUAAGGUGAAACAUCUCAACUAAGUCCAGUGUUCCUUGAAACGAAGAAUUAGAAAUCAUAGAUGCUGCAUCCUCAGUUUUCGACAAUAUCUCCAGGUUUAGGAGGAACAUCUACAUGACUUUUCAUUGUUGCUCUGUAGUAGAAGGGUCCUGAUUAUUGAUCAACAAGUUUCCGAUUUAACAAAACUUUUCACCUUAACCCUCUCUUCCUGUUAACUUUAAGCUCCAUCCAGACGACUUUGUCCUGUUACAGAUGGAGGUCGUCUGUGACCUCCACCUAACGAGCCCCUCACUCAGCUCACCUGUCCUCAUUACACUCAGCUGGUUUUCAUCAGCGUAGGUCGUCUAUAAGGAGGUUCUUUCACUCCGUUAGGGAUGUGACAACACCUUCAGUUGGUUUCUCUUGGUUUGUGUGUUUGAGUGUUUGAGAGAGGUUGAGUUUUGAAGGAAGGAAGGAGGGUAAAUUCUAGAAAAUUCUACCUCUGUUUGAGGCCUUUUACUUUGGUUUGCCGACUUUUAGGCAAAAUUAGUGGGUGGUUGUGUGGAAGUAUAACUCCACUCCAUCUUUUAGAACCCAAAGGCCUUAUUUUUGGUUUUGUUUGAAGGUGCAGAUGUUCCUUUUGUUACUUUCCCUGUCCGUGACCCUGUCCUUCACGUCAUGUGACUUGCAAGAUGAAACUGUCCCCAAAACAUGCAGAUAAGCGCUCAUAAAAUUAUUUAAAAAAAAAACAAAAUCCUUUUUUUUUAACUUAUAUUUCUAAAACAACUUCAGCCCUAACCAUUAAAAAAGUAAUGAAUAAAAAAUUUGAUGUAUUUCCCUUUUUAUGCCAGUUUUUGUGCGACAUGUCACUGUUAGUUUUUAAUGGUAAAAAACACAAAAUCGCCAUAUUUCUCAAAUAAAGUGACCAGGAUGAAUUUUUUUUCUUUUAAUAAAUAGAGUCUGGGCCAUGUUAAUGAUGAGAAAUAAAACUUAUUUUGGGGAAUUUAAAUCCUUUUUGUUGUGCUAAUUUUCCGUAUUUUACAUCCAUCCAGCUGACUUUGUCCCCAAAACAGACAUGCAGAUAAAUGUUCAUAAAAUAAAAAUUUUCUUAAAAUUUUUACUCAAAUCUCUUAAACAACUUCGGCCUUGACCAUUAAAAAAGUAAUAAAUAAAAAAGUUGAUGUAUAAUUCUUUUUAUGUCAGUUUUUGUUCACCAUGUCAUAUUUAUUCAUGAAUCUAUUGGAGCAGAAAAACACGACAUUUUCACCUCCUUUUCUGGAGUCUCGUCUUCUACCAAAUCAAAUACGAUCAAAUUAAUUUAUUCAUAAUAAAUUAAUUUUAUAUAUAAACAUAUAAAAUCAGCAGAUAUCUGUAAGAUAGGAAUCAUUUAUGAGUGUUUAUCCUCCUCUAACCAAAAUCUGACCCUGAUUACUCUGAUAUAAAAAUAACUGCAUAUUUCAGAUGUGAUAUCUUCUCCCCUGAUGAUCUGAAGGACCUGUUCAUCCUCAUGCAUGUCCAUCCACCUGCUCUGAACUGAGGACAAAGUUGAAAUUGUCCAAAUGUCCCCCUCUCUUUGUCCCAUACUGCAGAACUUGGACGUCA